AUGGGCUGCCAACUGCAGUGCGCGUCGGGCACCCGGUGCCGACAAUUAACGGGAGGGCGGUGCAGUGCGCGUCAAGCGUCCCGCGCGCGUGCUCUGGUCCUACCUCACCCUCCCCUCAUCCGCAUCGGGGCCGGCAGAUCUGGCCUGGUGCUUCCCUCUGGCCGACUCCCUCCUUCCGCUCCGGCCGGCGAGCCACGGCUGCGGGCUUCCAGCGCCCUGGGGUGGCUGUGGGGGCCUGGCCUCGUGGCUGCCUCGGCGGCGGUUCCACCCGCCGUUCCGCUGGGCUGGGCGCAGCGCCCCCUGCUCCCACGCUCUUGCGCCGGCCUCCGUCGCCUCCCGCCCUCAAUCUCGCGCCGUCGACCGCCUGCUGCGCGCUCUCGCAUCCCGCCUCGCGCAGAUCCAUCUGCCGCGUCUCCCGCCUCCACCGCCCCCGCCCUAUUCGUUGUCGUCGUGCUCCUUUGCGAGCUUGCCAAACGAAGGUGGCGUCGUGGCUCCUUCUCCUUGGAGCCCUUCAUCUCCCAGUCCCUCGGUGGGCUGCCGCUGUCUCAUAGCCUUUCCUGCUGGGGGCGCCGCACCGGUGGUCCUCACUGGUGGCUCUCGGCGUCAAGGGUGCCGGCCGGCGUCUCUGCUGGUCGGAUUCACCUGGAUCUGGGGCCGUCCAGUUUCAGCGCUGCCCCGCGCUAUUGGCGGCUGCUCUGCGUCUCGUCGCGUGGAGGGUGUGACCGGGGUUUGGGAGAAAUCCAUGGUCGGCCAGCUGCUGCUGGCCGAGACAGUGGCGACGCUUCACGUCGUUCCCAUCUUGAUGGCGUUGUCUUCAUCCCCCGGUCUUGUGAUGUUUUGGGUGUGCUCUGUGGUGUUCUUUGCUUGGUGAUGCCCUUCGACUACGCCGGUGGCACACAGGUGCCGUGGCGUCGUCUCGGCCCGGCAUGA
RNAcentral lists this ribosomal RNA (930 nucleotides) under Triticum aestivum (bread wheat). RNAcentral's name for it is "partial small subunit ribosomal RNA". Lineage: Eukaryota; Viridiplantae; Streptophyta; Magnoliopsida; Poales; Poaceae. The record is from RNAcentral.